UACGUAGGGUGCGAGCGUUAAUCGGAAUUACUGGGCGUAAAGCGUGCGCAGGCGGUGAGCUGGGUCCGAUGUGAAAGCCCCGGGCUUAACCUGGGAAUGGCAUUGGAAACUGGCUCGCUGGAGUGUGGCAGAGGGGGGUGGAAUUCCGCGUGUAGCAGUGAAAUGCGUAGAGAUGCGGAGGAACACCGAUGGCGAAGGCAGCCCCCUGGGCUAACACUGACGCUCAGGCACGAAAGCGUGGGGAGCAAACAGG
This 253-nucleotide ribosomal RNA is filed under the name uncultured bacterium. RNAcentral describes it as "partial 16S ribosomal RNA". It matches the Rfam family "Bacterial small subunit ribosomal RNA", at positions 524 to 776 of the family's 1533-position model. The record is from RNAcentral.